AGUUGGCUGAUAAGCUAUCACGUGGCUUGUGUGUGGUAAUAUGAGCUCCUUGACUGCAUUUUAAUGAUCUGAGCUAAUGUAAUCACUUAGGAUUCCCACGAACUCUGCCACCAGGCAUACAUCACCCAUGCAGAAUAGAAUGAGUCCUUUCAGAUGACUUCAAAAUCAUCUCUGAAUGCUGUACACAACGCUGGUGGAAUAAUUUGUGAACUGAGCCAUCAAAGAUUUUUUAUCAGCUCUGCUGCAUAGGAAAAGGGAAAUGCUACAGCAUACUACCAGACAUGUUGCAAAAUAUUAAAGACAAUAAUACGGUGAUCAAAGCAAAUAUGCUACAGAAGAGGAUAAUCACACCAGGCAACACAAUAUAGACAAUAUCGGAUACAGGGAAUGAGGAGACUGAUAGAACUAGACAUGAAGAAGGGCAGAUAGCAUAAGAGUAAAUGGCAACAUUGGUAACAGGGUAACGUGUCAGUGAUUCUGCCACAAAAUUUUGACCCCCAGACCCAGCAGUCAUCUCCACCUCUUGGACUGCCAUUUUUGGCACCAUAUAGCACAGUGAGAAUGGAGACCGAAAUCACACUACUGCGGAUGCCACCACCAGUUCCGCAGUCAGAGCAGAUGUCCAUGGAGACGCCACCUCCAGACACCCACCAUAGUGCACCUGGGAUUUUGCCCGCUGUCAUCUUGAGCACACCAUCUGUGUCCCUGGAUGUGGGUGUCCACUCUGUGGCCAGUUUUUCAGCCAGUGUUCCCGAUUACUCUCAAUGCAUGUACUAGUGCGCAGACAGGGAGCUGCCGUCAGCUGUCACUACAGCCAAUGUCCGCUCACGUACAUCCACACUCCCUAUGCCUUUGUCAUCUGACCCAUGACUACAAGAUGACAGUGCAGAGAUUUGGAAGGAGGCAGGAGGAAUGUGGUGUCAUCCAAAGAGUAUGGUCCCAUGUUAAAGUUGGUACCUCACAACGGAACCACAAACUAAAGACAGUUGCUGCCGGAUGCAACUACAAAUGAGAGACAUUGAUGAAGACAAACUCUCAAGACAUUCCAUACAUCACUGCUGCUGGAAAUCUACUUAUGUCAGAGUGCAGUGCCACUUAUCCCACUCUGAUAGCUAGCUCGGAUGGUAGCCUCAUCGUAGUACAGAUCCAGGAAUGAGCUAGUAUCAUUAGUCAUAAUAGUGCACUUAGGUCCAGGGUAAAGUGAUUUUUGACUGUCAUGUUAAACUAAGAACAAUUCUAGGUAGAACAAACAUUCAGUACAAGAACUAAAAACGUUUGCAACACUGCAGUACUUUUAUU
RNA transcript from Schistocerca piceifrons (Central American locust), 1299 nucleotides. RefSeq lists it as uncharacterized. NCBI's taxonomy places the organism in Eukaryota, Metazoa, Arthropoda, Insecta, Orthoptera, Acrididae. The record is from RefSeq and is a predicted model, not a curated record. The transcript has 4 exons.